AAACAAGCAUUUAAUAGACACACAACACCUCUGUAUAGUAAAAGAACACCUUCUUGUGGCUUAGAGACUUCGAAAACGUCUCUAGUUAAUUUAUUUCCCUCUUAUUUCUUUUCUCGUUAGCAAACUAGCCUGUUAGCAUUGACUGAAAACUUCCUCCUAUAGUUGCCUAGCAACCGUGAGUCGAUAGUUAGCGGUGUGAAUAGCAAAGAAAGACCCAGGUGUCCACAGUUUUAGAUAAACCUGAACGUUUAUCGGAUAUUAAGACACUAUUCCUACUUAGUGCAAACAGACUACCGUAGAAGUCUUUAGUAAUGCUUGCGUGGGUGAAUUUGGAUGAUGCCAGCUAACUACAACGUGCUAAACACGGAUUAUUAAAGCGAAUGCCAGGUGUACAAAAAUUGUUUUACGGGUUGGAAACAGAGACGUGCGAAUUUGGCAGCUUGAAUUGUAUUACGGUGCUGAUGGUGAGACGUGAAGUCAAAUCCAUUGAAGAGAACGCUGACUUCAAACUCAGUCUGCAAACAGACCUUUUCUCCUCCGCCUUUUAUUUGUGACUCGUCCACCUGAGCGACCUGCUGUGGUGUCCAGGAGGCAGAUAGGACACUGUGUCGCCCUCUUAUCUUCUUCUCCCUCGCUGGACCAAACAGCCCUGGUACACACAGCACAGGUACACACUCUCAGACAGAUAACACACACACACACACACACAGCUUUCACACAAACGCUCCAGCCCUGUAGAUAAUUGCAUCAG
Molecule: long non-coding RNA, 751 nt
Filed under: Gouania willdenowi (blunt-snouted clingfish)
Lineage: Eukaryota; Metazoa; Chordata; Actinopteri; Blenniiformes; Gobiesocidae
Description: lncRNA (ENSGWIG00000023701.1)
Source: RNAcentral